RNAcentral lists this transfer RNA (74 nucleotides) under Anaerolineae bacterium. RNAcentral describes it as "tRNA-Arg". It matches the Rfam family "tRNA". From Rfam's summary of the family: Transfer RNA (tRNA) molecules are approximately 80 nucleotides in length. RNAcentral also lists the same sequence under 1 other name. Lineage: Bacteria; Bacillati; Chloroflexota; Anaerolineae. The record is from RNAcentral.
GCGGCUGUAGCUCAGUGGAUUAGAGCGCUUGCCUACGGAGCAAUAGGUCGGGGGUUCGAAUCCCUCCAGCCGCG